UCCUACGGGAGGCAGCAGUGGGGAAUAUUGCACAAUGGGCGUGAGCCUGAUGCAGCGACGCCACGCGAGGGAUGACGGCCUUCGGGUUGUAAACCUCUUUCAGUAGGGAAGAAGCGAAAGUGACGGUACCUGCAGAAGAAGCACCGGCUAACUACGUGCCAGCAGCUGCGGUAAUACGUAGGGUGCGAGCGUUAUCCGGAAUUAUUGGGCGUAAAGAGCUCGUAGGCGGUUCGUCGCGUCUGUCGUGAAAGUCCGGGGCUUAACCCCGGAUCUGCGGUGAGUACGGGCAGACUAGAGUGCAGUAGGGGAGACUGGAAUUCCUGGUGUAGCGGUGAAAUGCGCAGA
RNAcentral lists this ribosomal RNA (345 nucleotides) under uncultured Micrococcus sp. Its description in RNAcentral is "bacterial SSU rRNA". It matches the Rfam family "Bacterial small subunit ribosomal RNA", at positions 337 to 694 of the family's 1533-position model. Lineage: Bacteria; Bacillati; Actinomycetota; Actinomycetes; Micrococcales; Micrococcaceae. The record is from RNAcentral.